GGGGUGGGCGCCUAUAAUGCAGUCGACGAACUCUGGUAUUGAUUGGUGCUUGCAUCAUGAUUUACAUUUGAGUGAGUGGCGAACUGGUGAGUAACACGUGGGAAACCUGCCCAGAAGCGGGGGAUAACACCUGGAAACAGAUGCUAAUACCGCAUAACAACUUGGACCGCAUGGUCCGAGUUUGAAAGAUGGCUUCGGCUAUCACUUUUGGAUGGUCCCGCGGCGUAUUAGCUAGAUGGUGGGGUAACGGCUCACCAUGGCAAUGAUACGUAGCCGACCUGAGAGGGUAAUCGGCCACAUUGGGACUGAGACACGGCCCAAACUCCUACGGGAGGCAGCAGUAGGGAAUCUUCCACAAUGGACGAAAGUCUGAUGGAGCAACGCCGCGUGAGUGAAGAAGGGUUUCGGCUCGUAAAACUCUGUUGUUAAAGAAGAACAUAUCUGAGAGUAACUGUUCAGGUAUUGACGGUAUUUAACCAGAAAGCCACGGCUAACUACGUGCCAGCAGCCGCGGUAAUACGUAGGUGGCAAGCGUUGUCCGGAUUUAUUGGGCGUAAAGCGAGCGCAGGCGGUUUUUUAAGUCUGAUGUGAAAGCCUUCGGCUCAACCGAAGAAGUGCAUCGGAAACUGGGAAACUUGAGUGCAGAAGAGGACAGUGGAACUCCAUGUGUAGCGGUGAAAUGCGUAGAUAUAUGGAAGAACACCAGUGGCGAAGGCGGCUGUCUGGUCUGUAACUGACGCUGAGGCUCGAAAGUAUGGGUAGCAAACAGGAUUAGAUACCCUGGUAGUCCAUACCGUAAACGAUGAAUGCUAAGUGUUGGAGGGUUUCCGCCCUUCAGUGCUGCAGCUAACGCAUUAAGCAUUCCGCCUGGGGAGUACGGCCGCAAGGCUGAAACUCAAAGGAAUUGACGGGGGCCCGCACAAGCGGUGGAGCAUGUGGUUUAAUUCGAAGCUACGCGAAGAACCUUACCAGGUCUUGACAUACUAUGCAAAUCUAAGAGAUUAGACGUUCCCUUCGGGGACAUGGAUACAGGUGGGUGCAUGAUUGUCGUCAGCUCGUGUCGUGAGAUGUUGGGUUAAGUCCCGCAACGAGCGCAAACCUUAUUAUCAGCUGCAGCAUUAGUUGGGCACUCUGGUGAGACUGCCCGAUGACAACCGGCAGGUAGCUGAGGAUGGACGUUCGAAUUCAUUCAUGUCCCCAUUAAUUGAACCUGGGGGC
RNAcentral lists this ribosomal RNA (1218 nucleotides) under Lactiplantibacillus plantarum. RNAcentral's name for it is "bacterial SSU rRNA". It matches the Rfam family "Bacterial small subunit ribosomal RNA", at positions 39 to 1217 of the family's 1533-position model. Lineage: Bacteria; Bacillati; Bacillota; Bacilli; Lactobacillales; Lactobacillaceae. The record is from RNAcentral.